GUGGGGAAUCUUCCGCAAUGGACGAAAGUCUGACGGAGCAACGCCGCGUGAGUGAUGAAGGUUUUCGGACUGUAAAGCUCUGUUGUUUAGGACGAAAGUGCCUGUUGCAAAUAGUUACAGGUAUUGACGGUACUGAACGAGGAAGCCACGGCUAACUACGUGCCAGCAGCCGCGGUAAUACGUAGGUGGCAAGCGUUGUCCGGAAUUAUUGGGCGUAAAGAGCAUGUAGGCGGGAAUCUAAGUCUGUUGUGAAAAUGCGGGGCUCAACCCCGUAUUGCGAUGGAAACUGGGUUUCUUGAGUGCAGGAGAGGAAAGGGGAAUUCCCAGUGUAGCGGUGAAAUGCGUAGAUAUUGGGAGGAACACCAGUGGCGAAGGCGCCUUUCUGGACUGUGUCUGACGCUGAGAUGCGAAAGCCAGGGUAGCGAACGGGAUUAGAAACCCUUGUAGUCC
This 450-nucleotide ribosomal RNA is filed under the name uncultured bacterium. RNAcentral's name for it is "partial 16S ribosomal RNA". It matches the Rfam family "Bacterial small subunit ribosomal RNA", at positions 354 to 796 of the family's 1533-position model. The record is from RNAcentral.